This 253-nucleotide ribosomal RNA is filed under the name uncultured bacterium. RNAcentral describes it as "partial 16S ribosomal RNA". It matches the Rfam family "Bacterial small subunit ribosomal RNA", at positions 524 to 776 of the family's 1533-position model. The record is from RNAcentral.
UACGUAGGGGGCAAGCGUUGUCCGGAUUUAUUGGGCGUAAAGAGCGUGUAGGCGGUUAGGUAGGUCCGUUGUGAAAACUCGAGGCUCAACCUCGAGACGCCGAUGGAAACCAUCUGACUAGAGUCCGGAAGAGGAGAGUGGAAUUCCUGGUGUAGCGGUGAAAUGCGCAGAUAUCAGGAGGAACACCUGUGGCGAAAGCGGCUCACUGGACCAUAACUGACGCUGAUGCACGAAAGCUAGGGGAGCAAACAGG